This 884-nucleotide ribosomal RNA is filed under the name uncultured bacterium. RNAcentral describes it as "bacterial SSU rRNA". It matches the Rfam family "Bacterial small subunit ribosomal RNA", at positions 51 to 948 of the family's 1533-position model. The record is from RNAcentral.
ACACAUGCAAGUCGAACGAGAGAGAAGGAGCUUGCUUCUUCGAUCGAGUGGCGAACGGGUGAGUAACGCGUGAGGAACCUGGCUCAAAGAGGGGGACAACAGUUGGAAACGACUGCUAAUACCGCAUAAGCCCACGGGUCGGCAUCGACCUGAGGGAAAAGGAGCAAUCCGCUUUGAGAUGGCCUCGCGUCCGAUUAGCUAGUUGGUGAGGUAACGGCCCACCAAGGCGACGAUCGGUAGCCGGACUGAGAGGUUGAACGGCCACAUUGGGACUGAGACACGGCCCAGACUCCUACGGGAGGCAGCAGUGGGGAAUAUUGCACAAUGGGGGAAACCCUGAUGCAGCGACGCCGCGUGGAGGAAGAAGGUCUUCGGAUUGUAAACUCCUGUUGUUGAGGAAGAUAAUGACGGUACUCAACAAGGAAGUGACGGCUAACUACGUGCCAGCAGCCGCGGUAAAACGUAGGUCACAAGCGUUGUCCGGAAUUACUGGGUGUAAAGGGAGCGCAGGCGGGAAGACAAGUUGGAAGUGAAAUCUAUGGGCUCAACCCAUAAACUGCUUUCAAAACUGUUUUUCUUGAGUAGUGCAGAGGUAGGCGGAAUUCCCGGUGUAGCGGUGGAAUGCGUAGAUAUCGGGAGGAACACCAGUGGCGAAGGCGGCCUACUGGGCACCAACUGACGCUGAGGCUCGAAAGUGUGGGUAGCAAACAGGAUUAGAUACCCUGGUAGUCCACACCGUAAACGAUGAUUACUAGGUGUUGGAGGAUUGACCCCUUCAGUGCCGCAGUUAACACAAUAAGUAAUCCACCUGGGGAGUACGACCGCAAGGUUGAAACUCAAAGGAAUUGACGGGGGCCCGCACAAGCAGUGGAGUAUGUGGUUUA